RNAcentral lists this ribosomal RNA (1285 nucleotides) under metagenome. RNAcentral's name for it is "bacterial SSU rRNA". It matches the Rfam family "Bacterial small subunit ribosomal RNA", at positions 242 to 1520 of the family's 1533-position model. The record is from RNAcentral.
UAGCUAGUUGGUGAGGUAAAGGCUUACCAAGGCGACGAUCUGUAGCGGGUCUGAGAGGAUGAUCCGCCACACUGGAACUGAGACACGGUCCAGACUCCUACGGGAGGCAGCAGUGGGGAAUUUUGGACAAUGGGGGCAACCCUGAUCCAGCCAUGCCGCGUGAGUGAAGAAGGCCUUCGGGUUGUAAAGCUCUUUCGGCCGGGAAGAAAUCGCAUGGGCCAAUACCCUGUGUGGAUGACGGUACCGGAAUAAGAAGCACCGGCUAACUACGUGCCAGCAGCCGCGGUAAUACGUAGGGUGCGAGCGUUAAUCGGAAUUACUGGGCGUAAAGCGUGCGCAGGCGGUUUUGUAAGACAGGCGUGAAAUCCCCGGGCUUAACCUGGGAACUGCGUUUGUGACUGCAAGGCUAGAGUACGGCAGAGGGGGGUGGAAUUCCACGUGUAGCAGUGAAAUGCGUAGAUGUGGAGGAACACCAAUGGCGAAGGCAGCCCCCUGGGUCGAUACUGACGCUCAUGCACGAAAGCGUGGGUAGCAAACAGGAUUAGAUACCCUGGUAGUCCACGCCCUAAACUAUGUCAACUAGGUGUUGGGUGGGUAAAACCAUUUAGUACCGUAGCUAACGCGUGAAGUUGACCGCCUGGGGAGUACGGCCGCAAGGUUAAAACUAAAAGGAAUUGACGGGGACCCGCACAAGCGGUGGAUGAUGUGGAUUAAUUCGAUGCAACGCGAAAAACCUUACCUACCCUUGACAUGCCAGGAACUUGCCAGAGAUGGCUUGGUGCCCGAAAGGGAGCCUGGACACAGGUGCUGCAUGGCUGUCGUCAGCUCGUGUCGUGAGAUGUUGGGUUAAGUCCCGCAACGAGCGCAACCCUUGUCGUUAAUUGCCAUCAUUUAGUUGGGCACUUUAACGAGACUGCCGGUGACAAACCGGAGGAAGGUGGGGAUGACGUCAAGUCCUCAUGGCCCUUAUGGGUAGGGCUUCACACGUCAUACAAUGGUCGGUACAAAGGGUUGCCAAGCCGCGAGGCGGAGCCAAUCCCAGAAAGCCGAUCGUAGUCCGGAUUGCAGGCUGCAACUCGCCUGCAUGAAGUCGGAAUCGCUAGUAAUCGUGGAUCAGCAUGUCACGGUGAAUACGUUCCCGGGUCUUGUACACACCGCCCGUCACACCAUGGGAGCGGGUUCCGCCAGAAGUAGGUAGCCUAACCGCAAGGGGGGCGCUUACCACGGCGGGGUUCGUGACUGGGGUGAAGUCGUAACAAGGUAGCCGUAGGGGAACCUGCGGCUG